GCCCGUUUUCAGCGUUGUGCACAAUUUCUGGGGAUUUGACAUUCAGAAUCUCUUGUCUUUGCAAACUUGAGCCACGAGUUUCACCACAGCCGAGAGUGCGUUGAAGGUAUCCAGCAUGAGUGCAAAGUGUCUUCUAGCUCUGGCCCUUGUGGCGGCUCUGGUCGCUUUCGUCAGCCCGUUCUACAUCAACGAGGACUUGGACGACGACGAGGACGAAGGAGGUGCCGUGGAGGAGCUGGAGGCGCAGGCCUUGCCGCUGUUGCUGCAGAAGAGGGGCAGAGGAGUUCGCUACAUCAGAUGUUUUGAUGAUUUUACUGGCGAGCCCUGCCAAUGCGACAAGUCAAGAUCCCGUAGCAAAUUUGGCCGAUGCCAGAAGUAGACAGAUCCUGCUGGGCAACAGCCAAAUAAUGGUUCACCUGUUGGUUAGCAGCCAGCUACUGGUUCACAUGUUGGUCAUACUCCCAGUAAAGAGCGGAUCGUCCGGUUUCAAGAACAGAUAUCAUGUAAAGCGUACUAAGCUCUAGCGAUUUUUGUUGUCCAUUUGUUAGACUUGUGAAGAUAGUGUAGCCAAAACGCGGCCUCGAUAUCGAACAGAAAUGUUUUGGACACGUCUUUGAUAUACUCAUUGCUACAGUUUGAAGCAAUUGUUAAUGUGUAGUUUGCAUUUACUGUAAGGGGUCGUCUUCAUACACACACCUGUUCACAUGUGUGCGGGAUUUGCCUGCAUUUUAGAUCCCCCACCACUCACUCAUUCACCACCACGAAUAAACAUUCCACAUUCCUCCAUAGGCGUUGUGUACUAUAGUCGCAGCAGGAAAAUUAAAACAAACAGUGGGUGAAUCGAGGAAUAGUGUGUAAUUAAUUUAGCAAGAGAGUGUUUCCAAGUAUUUAUUUAGUAUGAGAAAUUACAAGGAUUACAUGGGCACUUAUUCGAUUCUUUGCUCUUAAUGUGCACGCUGACUUGCAACAACUCCAUACGCAUGGUUUACGCAAUAUUACAAACACCCAAAUUACAAAUAGGUGCAUGAUUACUUUAUGAACGAUCCAUGCAAAGGGUAAGCCUGCUUGGCUGAUAUCUUUUCAUUCGGUUAAGCGCCCUCUAUCCUAUGAUAAAAGCACACUGGUACCCUUGUGUAAUGUAUGCAGUCGCGAAUUAUUGUAGGAACGUUUGAGGGCGUAGUGUCAUGGAAGAUCUCCAUGAACUUCAACCAGCAUCUGUAAGGUUUACCCCACUGCUUAUAGUAAGGUAUUACCAAGUGUCAUCAGAAUUUUAAAAAAGAAAAAAACAAAAACAAAAACAAAGUUGAAUGUUAACGUCCUAAAAAUAAUUGUUAACCUGGUGCAAAUUGUUUGCCACGUUAAAAGAAGUGUCAAGUAAAACCAUAUUUAUUUAGUGAUUGCCAGGAAUUUGUCAUGAUGCAAUGAUGUAAAAAGCUCAAUCUUAUUUUAAAAGCUUGAAGCUGACGGAAGAGUGUUAAUCCCGUUUAACAGAGGCAUAUUUUUGACUUGAAAAUAUCACCUUCUUUCCUCAUGAAUUUGUUCUGAAUGCUUUUAAAAAUUAAAAAAAAAAGAGAUUCUACUGCAAAAAACCUGA
RNAcentral lists this long non-coding RNA (1594 nucleotides) under Acanthaster planci (crown-of-thorns starfish). RNAcentral describes it as "uncharacterized LOC110976817". The record is from RNAcentral. Lineage: Eukaryota; Metazoa; Echinodermata; Asteroidea; Valvatida; Acanthasteridae.